Molecule: ribosomal RNA, 396 nt
Filed under: uncultured bacterium
Lineage: Bacteria
Description: partial 16S ribosomal RNA
Rfam family: Bacterial small subunit ribosomal RNA
Source: RNAcentral
AUACGUAGGUGACAAGCGUUAUCCGGAUUUACUGGGCGUAAAGGGCGUGUAGGCGGUCUUGCAAGUCAGAAGUGAAAUUCCUGAGCUCAACUCGGGCGCUGCUUCUGAAACUGCAGGACUUGAGUGCUGGAGGGGAUAGCGGAAUUCCUAGUGGAGCGGUAAAAUGCGCAGAUAUUAGGAAGAACACCGGUGGCGAAGGCGGCUAUCUGGACAGUAACUGACGCUGAGGCGCGAAAGCGUGGGGAGCAAACAGGAUUAGAUACCCUGGUAGUCCACGCUGUAAACGAUGAUGACUAGGUGUGGGGGGACUGAACCCUUCCGUGCCGCAGUUAACACAAUAAGUCAUCCACCUGGGGAGUACGGCCGCAAGGUUGAAACUCAAAUGAAUUGACGGGG